RNAcentral lists this ribosomal RNA (465 nucleotides) under Vreelandella stevensii. Its description in RNAcentral is "partial 16S ribosomal RNA". It matches the Rfam family "Bacterial small subunit ribosomal RNA", at positions 338 to 795 of the family's 1533-position model. The record is from RNAcentral. Lineage: Bacteria; Pseudomonadati; Pseudomonadota; Gammaproteobacteria; Oceanospirillales; Halomonadaceae.
CCUACGGGAGGCAGCAGUGGGGAAUAUUGGACAAUGGGGGGAACCCUGAUCCAGCCAUGCCGCGUGUGUGAAGAAGGCCCUCGGGUUGUAAAGCACUUUCAGUGAGGAAGAACGCCUGGUGGUUAAUACCCAUCAGGAAAGACAUCACUCACAGAAGAAGCACCGGCUAACUCCGUGCCAGCAGCCGCGGUAAUACGGAGGGUGCGAGCGUUAAUCGGAAUUACUGGGCGUAAAGCGCGCGUAGGUGGCUUGAUAAGCCGGUUGUGAAAGCCCCGGGCUCAACCUGGGAACGGCAUCCGGAACUGUCAAGCUAGAGUGCAGGAGAGGAAGGUAGAAUUCCCGGUGUAGCGGUGAAAUGCGUAGAGAUCGGGAGGAAUACCAGUGGCGAAGGCGGCCUUCUGGACUGACACUGACACUGAGGUGCGAAAGCGUGGGUAGCAAACAGGAUUAGAUACUCGAGUAGUC